This 402-nucleotide ribosomal RNA is filed under the name uncultured Sphingomonas sp. RNAcentral describes it as "bacterial SSU rRNA". It matches the Rfam family "Bacterial small subunit ribosomal RNA", at positions 355 to 774 of the family's 1533-position model. RNAcentral also lists the same sequence under 1 other name. The record is from RNAcentral. Lineage: Bacteria; Pseudomonadati; Pseudomonadota; Alphaproteobacteria; Sphingomonadales; Sphingomonadaceae.
UGGGGAAUAUUGGACAAUGGGCGAAAGCCUGAUCCAGCAAUGCCGCGUGAGUGAUGAAGGCCUUAGGGUUGUAAAGCUCUUUUACCCGGGAAGAUAAUGACUGUACCGGGAGAAUAAGCCCCGGCUAACUCCGUGCCAGCAGCCGCGGUAAUACGGAGGGGGCUAGCGUUGUUCGGAAUUACUGGGCGUAAAGCGCACGUAGGCGGCUUUGUAAGUUAGAGGUGAAAGCCUGAUGCUCAACAUCAGAAUUGCCUUUAAGACUGCAUCGCUUGAACGUCGGAGAGGUGAGUGGAAUUCCGAGUGUAGAGGUGAAAUUCGUAGAUAUUCGGAAGAACACCAGUGGCGAAGGCGGCUCACUGGACGACUGUUGACGCUGAGGUGCGAAAGCGUGGGGAGCAAACA